RNAcentral lists this long non-coding RNA (522 nucleotides) under Capsella grandiflora. RNAcentral describes it as "long non-coding RNA (CGRA_LNC001101)". Lineage: Eukaryota; Viridiplantae; Streptophyta; Magnoliopsida; Brassicales; Brassicaceae. The record is from RNAcentral.
UAUAAAGCAAUAAAGGGACUUGAUUUAUAUUAGAACAGGUGAAGUUUAUAUUAACCCAAGAGAAAUGGUCUAAGACAAUUACACAUCUUCCUGUACAUUAUAGAGCCAGUGUAGUCUCUCUUCUCUCUCUCUGUAAUGGAAGUUACAAGUUACAGUAUAAGUAACAGAGUAUUUUGUAUGUGUUGUUAUUCAAAACUUUUCAGAACUUAGCACAAAAACAACAAGAACGUUGCGAUUUUUAUACACCGGGGCUGUGACUAUGAGCGAGUAAUUUCUCCUGUUCGCUGUUGAUAUCGUUUUGGAGUGAAAGAGGAUUAGACUGAUGAGAAGUAUGCUUGGGAUUGUUGAUUUUGUACCAUACAUUCUCUAUACGGAAAAACGCCCACUGGAAUCGCCUGUAAAUCUCCAAAGCAGUGAUGAUGAACACAGUGAUGUAGUUGUUACGGAGAUGAGCUGAUAACUUGUACGUCCAUGUCCACCUUAGUAUCAGAUUGCUUCCGAUUACCCAAACAUAUACCUGNN